This 776-nucleotide ribosomal RNA is filed under the name uncultured Neocallimastigales. RNAcentral's name for it is "partial large subunit ribosomal RNA". It matches the Rfam family "Eukaryotic large subunit ribosomal RNA", at positions 23 to 645 of the family's 3401-position model. The record is from RNAcentral. Lineage: Eukaryota; Fungi; Neocallimastigomycota; Neocallimastigomycetes; Neocallimastigales.
GAGAGAGACAUGCGCGCAUAUCAAUAAGCGGAGGAAAAGAAACUAACAAGGAUUCCCUUAGUAACGGCGAGUGAAGCGGGAAGAGCUCAAAUUUGAAAUCUUCAAGGUUCUACCUUGACGAAUUGUAGUUUAAAGAAGUGUUUUCUGUUGAAGUUUUGGUAAAAGUUCUUUGGAAUAGGACAUCAUAGAGGGUGAGAAUCCCGUAUUUGACCAUUAUUUUCCAGCUUUGUGAUACACUUUCAAAGAGUCGGAUUGUUUGGGAAUGCAGUCCAAAAUGGGUGGUAAAUUUCAUCUAAAGCUAAAUAUCGGCGAGAGACCGAUAGCGAACAAGUACCGUGAGGGAAAGAUGAAAAGAACUUUGAAAAGAGAGUUAAACAGUACGUGAAAUUGUCAAAAGGGAAGCGUUUGGACACCAGUGUUGUUUUCUCGAAAAUCAAUUAAAAAAGGCAGGAUUUUGUGUUGUAUUGACUUUAUCAGCUUUCUGCACUCUUUUCUUGUCUUUUUUUAAUACACUUUUCGUUUAACAAGUCAACAUCAAUUUCUUUUGUUGUAAAAGGGUCAUUGGAAGGUGGCUUUCUUUUUGGAGAAAGUGUUUAUAGCCUUUGGCCUCUGCAAUCGGAGAGAUUGAGGUCUGCAGCGUAGAUCCUUCGGGGUUAGAUACAUUUGUGCUAAGUUAUAGCCUUUCAUAGACAACUUGUUGACUAUGAUCAGUCAUGUAGCUUACUCGCUUAUGCUAUUUUACCUACGCUUAGGAUGUUGAAGUCAUCGUAUCGCGC